This 465-nucleotide ribosomal RNA is filed under the name uncultured bacterium. RNAcentral's name for it is "partial 16S ribosomal RNA". It matches the Rfam family "Bacterial small subunit ribosomal RNA", at positions 28 to 507 of the family's 1533-position model. The record is from RNAcentral.
GACGAACGCUGGCGGCGUGCUUAACACAUGCAAGUCGAACGGAAAGGCCCCUUUGGGGGUACUCGAGUGGCGAACGGGUGAGUAACACGUGAGUAACCUGCCCUUGACUUCGGGAUAACUUCAGGAAACUGGGGCUAAUACCGGAUAGGAAUCCUUGCUGCAUGGUGGGGGUUGGAAAGCUUCGGCGGUUUUGGAUGGACUCGCGGCUUAUCAGCUUGUUGGUGGGGUAGUGGCUUACCAAGGCUUUGACGGGUAGCCGGCCUGAGAGGGCGACCGGCCACAUUGGGACUGAGAGACGGCCCAGACACCUACGGGAGGCAGCAGUGGGGAAUAUUGCACAAUGGGCGGAAGCCGGAUGCAGCAACGCCGCGUGCGGGAUGACGGCCUUCGGGUUGUAAACCGCUUUCAGCAGGGGCGAAGCUUGUGGUGACGGUACCUGCAGAAGAAGCACCGGCUAACUACGUG